This 492-nucleotide ribosomal RNA is filed under the name uncultured bacterium. Its description in RNAcentral is "partial 16S ribosomal RNA". It matches the Rfam family "Bacterial small subunit ribosomal RNA", at positions 29 to 507 of the family's 1533-position model. The record is from RNAcentral.
AGUGAACGCUGGCGGUAGGCCUAACACAUGCAAGUCGAACGGCAGCACAGUAAGAGCUUGCUCUUACGGGUGGCGAGUGGCGGACGGGUGAGGAAUACAUCGGAAUCUACUUUUUCGUGGGGGAUAACGUAGGGAAACUUACGCUAAUACCGCAUACGACCUACGGGUGAAAGCAGGGGAUCUUCGGACCUUGUGCGAUUGAAUGAGCCGAUGUCGGAUUAGCUAGUUGGCGGGGUAAAGGCCCACCAAGGCGACGAUCCGUAGCUGGUCUGAGAGGAUGAUCAGGCACACUGGAAGUGAGACACGGUCCAGACUCCGACGGGAGGCAGCAGUGGGGAAUAUUGGACAAUGGGGGAAAGCGUGAUCCAGCCAUACAGCGUGGGUGAAGAAGGCGUGCGGGUUGUAAAGCCAUUUUGUUGGGAAAGAAAAGCAGCAGGUUAAUACCCCGCUGUUCUGACGGUACCCAACGAAUAAGCACCGGCUAACUUCGUG